Molecule: long non-coding RNA, 2555 nt
Organism: Oreochromis aureus
Lineage: Eukaryota; Metazoa; Chordata; Actinopteri; Cichliformes; Cichlidae
Source: Ensembl
ACCAGGCCGGAUCAGUGGUCAUUAUUUUUGGUCUUCCUCCUCAAUUUCUGAACCCUAACAGUUGCUUGCUUCAGGUUUGGAUAAGAAUGAUCUGGAAAGUCAGAAAGAAGUGGAGAUAAGAAUGGAAAGAUUUAAGACCACUUUGAAGAAAGGAAAUCUGACUCCAAAAGAUUUAGCAAAGGCAGAACAAGCUAUUAUUCAAUAUGCACAACAACAGAAAUUUAAAACUGAAAUAGUUUAAUCAGCAAUGGCCUCAAAGGAGUCUCCAAGGGAAGUUGUCUCUGCAAACUUGAUCCAGUAUUGGAUGUGGGAAUCCUCAGAGUGGGUGGCCGAUUGAAUAAAGCAGCCAUGUGUAUGGAAGUAAAGCAUCCUGCAAUUUUGACAAAGGAUAUGCAUGUGUCAACACUGAUUUUACGCCAUAUCCAUCAAAGGUUGGGACAUGCAGGAAGAGCGCACAUGCUGUCAAAACUGAGGCAAAAAUACUGGAUAGUAAAUGCAAAUUCUGCUGCCAGGAAAAUCAUCUCUUGUUGUAUCACGUGUAGACGCAACAGAGGAAAGUUUGUUGAACAAAAGAUGGCGGAUCUGCCUGGAGAGAGAGUCCUGCCAGACACAGCUCCAUUCACAAAUGUUGGAGUGGACUAUUUUGGACCUAUAAGUGUUAAAAGAGGACGAAGUCUCCUUAAAAGGUAUGGAGUUCUUUUUACUUGUUUGACCAGUCGUGCAGUACAUCUGGAGAUUGCAUGUACACUUGAUACAGACUCCUGUAUAAAUGCUGUGCGGAGGUUCAUCUGUAGACGAGGCCCAGUUUCGACCAUCAGGUCUGAUAAUGCUACAAAUUUUGUUGGGGCGAAUCGAGAGUUGAAAGAAAGUUUGACUGAGCUGAACCAUGCUAAAAUUUAAAAGGCUUUUGUUCAGGAUGGAAUGAAAUGGAACUUUGACAUCCCAGCAGCCUCUCACCAAGGCGGUGUGUGGGAGCGCCUCAUUCGUUCAAUAAAGAGUAUUUUAGCCUCAGUUCUCAAAGAACAAGUUUUGGAUGAUGAAGGACUCCAAACAGUCUUCUGUGAGACUGAAGCUAUAGUGAACGACAGACCCAUUACUAGAGUUUCAGAUGACUCAAAUGAUCUUGAAGCACUGACACCCAAUCACUUGUUGUUGCUGAAAAACAAACCAGUUUUACCACCAGGACUGUUUGAUCCAACUGAUCUUCAUGUCAGGAAAAGGUGGAAACAGGUACAGUACAUGGCAGAGUGUCACGGACCCAGCUCCAGGGAUUCGGGGUUCGUGAGCAGGGUGGACUACUACUGUAGUUAUUAUUAUUAUCAUUAUUAUUAUUAUUAUUAUUAUUAUUAUUAUGGUUAUUGUCGUUAUUGUUAUUAUGGUUGUGUCUGCUGUCCUGUGCCCCGUGUUUGUGUACUGUCAGGUGUUUAUGGGUGUGUGCAUGUGUGUGAGGGUGCCGUCGUGGCAGGCACUUUUAGGCCUGGUGGGUGUGGCCCUGCCAGCUGACCGGUCACACCCAGGAAUCCACACACACCUGGCGCCGAUCAAGCCUCGUCAGAGGAGCUUCAAAACAGUGUGGCUGAGAGCUCCUCGACGCUGGAUCGUUGAGUGACUUCCCGAGGCAUUGCGGCAUCCAGGAGGCAGCACACGGACAGUACACAGGGAACGGAGACAGAGCACGGAGCACGGGAUAAGGGAGAAGACACGGAACGGGAGUCGGGAUCGCGCGGGGGAUUUAUUGUUGUUUGGAUUUUCACCCCUGUAAAUAAACGCACUGCCUUCAGCAUCAAGUCCUGCAUUUUGGGUCCUCAUUCCUCACAUCCCCACGGUCUGCCACACAGACCGUGACACAGAGUUGUUCUGGAAGAGAUGGCUUUCUGAGUACCUACCUCUGAUGCAAGAAAGACAAAAAUGGACGAGGACUAAAAGAUGUCUUAUACCUGGAGAUGUUGUUUUGAUUGCAGACGCUACAGCUCCAAGAGGAUCAUGGAUGAUGGCGAAAGUCUUAAGUGUAAACCAGGAUGCAAAAGGCUUGGUGCAUUCUGUGAGACUACAAACAAAGACCAGUGUUUUGGAAAGGCCAGUGGCAAAACUUAUUUUGCUACUGGAAGCCUCAUCGUGAAGAAAAUCAUCAACGAAGAUUAAGGACCUGCUUGAGGGAAUAGCUCCUCCUUUUGGGACUUUAAAGUAAUUUUGAUUGUAUGUACAAUUAGGGGCCGGAGUGUUGGAGCUAUUUGUUCUUUAUUUCUAUUAUUUUGAAAUUUGUUAAAGUUUGUUGUUAGUUUACUUAUAUUUUCGGGUUUAUUUACAAGUUUAUUUGUAGGUUAAUAUUUGUUUCAAUGUUUUGUUUGUUUGGUGUUUACCUUGUUAAAUCAGUCGGUAAGAGCUGUAGGGUCAUUUUGUUUCUAUAAAUAAAGAGACUGGUAAAGGACCAGCAUGCACUGGGGUGGGCCUAUGUUUUUUGUUUUUUUUACCAGAGCAGGAGAAGCAGCAGGAAGUAACAAAAAAAUGGAUCUUGUUAUUGCUUGCCAAACUGGAUGAAUAAACCAUAAAAACGC